GGACAGGUGGCUGCGUCAGCGUGGGCGGGAAUGCUGACCCAGCCAGGCCAGGCCGGCGAAGGGGCCUGGCGUCGGGUGGGCAGCGGCUGCACUGCUACCUGGCCAGCCAAAGGCAUGGUGGUGGGGCGUGGGCAGGAUGGAGCCCCAAAGGUGGAGAGGCAUCGGAGGACCUGGGUUCAAAUCUCCUCUCUACCACUUACCUGCCGAGUGACCGUGUGCAAGCCGCGGGCCUCCGUUUCCUCAUUUGUCAACACAGGGUCAACAUCCGGGCUGAGCCCAUGGCACGUGUUAGGAUGCAGCCCCGCACCCACCCAGCACAUCCCCCCAUUUUAAUCUUUUACAGCUUUUACCCAAACCUGAAAUUAUAGCAUUUAUUUUUCUGUGUGUA
This is a non-coding RNA of Microcebus murinus (gray mouse lemur), 388 nucleotides long. The record is from RefSeq and is a predicted model, not a curated record. Lineage: Eukaryota; Metazoa; Chordata; Mammalia; Primates; Cheirogaleidae.